Molecule: ribosomal RNA, 2004 nt
Filed under: human oral metagenome
Description: bacterial LSU rRNA
Rfam family: Bacterial large subunit ribosomal RNA
Source: RNAcentral
AUCGAACUCGGAUAUAGCUGGUUCUCCUCGAAAUAGCUUUAGGGCUAGCCUCAAGGUAAAGAUACACGGGGGUAGAGCACUGACUGUUCGCGGGGCCUUCACCGGUUACCAACAACUAUCAAACUCCGAAUACCGUGCUAUCAUACUUGGGAGUCAGACUAUGAGAGAUAAGUUCCAUGGUCGAAAGGGAAACAGCCCAGAUCAACAGCUAAGGUCCCAAAGAGUAAGUUAAGUGGAAAAGGAUGUGGGAUUGCACAAACAGCUAGGAUGUUGGCUUAGAAGCAGCCAUACAUUUAAAGAGUGCGUAAUAGCUCACUAGUCGAGUGAUCCUGCGCCGAAGAUAAACGGGGCUCAAACUUACCACCGAAGCUUUGGAAUUAGUAUAACUAAUUGGUAGAGGAGCAUUCUAUACAGGUAGAAGGAGGCGCGUAAGCAAAUCUGGACGGUAUAGAAGAGAGAAUGUUGGCAUGAGUAGCGUAAGGCGGGUGAGAAUCCCGUCCGCCGAAAAUCUAAGGUUUCCUGAGGAAGGUUCGUCCUCUCAGGGUAAGUCGGGACCUAAGCCGAGAGCGAACGCUGUAGGCGAUGGACAACAGGUUGAUAUUCCUGUACCACCAAGGAUUGUUUGAAUGAAGUGGGGACACAGAAGGAUAGAUUGAGCACGCCGUUGGUUGAGCGUGUCCAAGCAGCAAGGCUUGAAAGUAGGCAAAUCCGCUUUCUACAAGGCUGAGCUGUGAUGGGGUGGUCGAAUGACCGGUAGCAAUCGAUUUCACGCUGUCAAGAAAAGCCGCUAAUGAGAUCCAAGGUGCCCGUACCGCAAACCGACACAGGUAGAUGAGGAGAGAAUCCUAAGGUGAGCGAGCGAACUAUUGUUAAGGAACUCGGCAAAAUAACCCCGUAACUUCGGGAGAAGGGGUGCCUGCUUCGGCAGGCCGCAGUGAAGAGGUCCAGGCAACUGUUUACCAAAAACACAGGUCUCUGCUAAAGCGAAAGCUGAUGUAUAGGGGCUGACGCCUGCCCGGUGCUGGAAGGUUAAGGGGAAGUGUUAGGGCAACCGAAGCACAGAACUUAAGCCCCAGUAAACGGCGGCCGUAACUAUAACGGUCCUAAGGUAGCGAAAUUCCUUGUCGGGUAAGUUCCGACCCGCACGAAAGGCGUAAUGAUCUGGACACUGUCUCAACAAUAGGCUCGGUGAAAUUGUAGUACCGGUAAAGAUGCCGGUUACCCGCAGCAGGACGGAAAGACCCCGUGGAGCUUCACUGUAGCUUGAUAUUGAUUUUCGGCAUUGCAUGUACAGGAUAGGUGGGAGACGUUGAGUUCAGCACGCCAGUGUUGGAGGAGUCACCGUUGGGAUACCACCCUUGUAAUGUUGGAAAUCUAACCUAGUACCGUGAUCCGGUACAGGGACAGUGUCAGGUGGGCAGUUUGACUGGGGCGGUCGCCUCCUAAAGAGUAACGGAGGCGCCCAAAGGUUCCCUCAGCGCGGACGGAAAUCGCGCGAAGAGUGCAAAGGCAAAAGGGAGCUUGACUGCGAGACAUACAGGUCGAGCAGGGACGAAAGUCGGGCUUAGUGAUCCGGUGGUUCCGAGUGGAAGGGCCAUCGCUCAACGGAUAAAAGCUACCCCGGGGAUAACAGGCUUAUACCCCCCAAGAGUUCACAUCGACGGGGGUGUUUGGCACCUCGAUGUCGGCUCGUCUCAUCCUGGGGCUGAAGUAGGUCCCAAGGGUUGGGCUGUUCGCCCAUUAAAGAGGUACGCGAGCUGGGUUCAGAACGUCGUGAGACAGUUCGGUCCCUAUCCGCUGUGGGCGUUGGAAAUUUGAGAGGAGCUAUCCUUAGUACGAGAGGACCGGGAUGGACAUACCUCUGGUGUACCGGUUGUUCUGCCAAGGGCAUAGCCGGGUAGCUACGUAUGGAAGGGAUAAGCGCUGAAAGCAUCUAAGUGCGAAGCCCACCUCAAGAUAAGAUUUCCUCCGAAAGGUAAGACCCGUGAGAGACUAUCACGUUGA